Molecule: ribosomal RNA, 333 nt
Filed under: uncultured eukaryote
Lineage: Eukaryota
Description: partial 18S ribosomal RNA
Rfam family: Eukaryotic small subunit ribosomal RNA
Source: RNAcentral
CCCUUAGAUGUUCGGGGCUGCACAUGCGCUACACUGAAGGAAUCAACGUGUAUUUGCCCUUGCCCGAAGGGGUUGGGUAACCCGUUGAACCUCCUUCGUGCUAGGGAUUGGGGCUUGUAAUUAUUCCCCAUGAACGAGGAAUUCCCAGUAAGCGCGAGUCAUAAGCUCGCGUUGAUUACGUCCCUGCCCUUUGUACACACCGCCCGUCGCUACUACCGAUUGAAUGGUUUAGUGAGAUCCUCGGAUUGGUCCCGCCACGGGAGGAAACUUUCGAGGCGGAGUGCCGAGAAGACGAUCAAACUUGAUCAUUUAGAGGAAGUAAAAGUCGUAACA